Molecule: RNA transcript, 3740 nt
Organism: Ipomoea triloba (trilobed morning glory)
Lineage: Eukaryota; Viridiplantae; Streptophyta; Magnoliopsida; Solanales; Convolvulaceae
Gene name: nuclear intron maturase 2, mitochondrial
Exons: 4
Source: RefSeq, a predicted model, not a curated record
UCCAAGUUCCAUUUCAGUUAGGGUUCAAUGGUAGGGUUUAAGCGUUGAACCUUUUGUUCAUCUAAUCUCAUGUUAUGGCCAUUUUACCAAAGGAUUCUGUGCAAGAACACCAGUGAGCAGGUACAGAAUUUACUUAAUUUAUUCGCCGCAUGAUUUUACCAUUAUUGUGUCUUUGAGAGGGUAAUUCUAAUGAACCAAUCUCGAAGAACACCGAUAGAGCAAAAAGCCACAUUUCUGAAAGUUGAGAAGCCUGAACUUCAAGCCUCUGGAGAACACCGGGAGUUCCCCUUUACGGAAGCCUGCCUGUAUUGAGAAGAAUGAAGCUAAAGCGGGACAAAUGAAGUGCGUAUGCUGUUCGCUGAAAUGCCCGAGUGAGGAAUGGUACCUUUGCGGAGUUUAAUUAGGAUAAGUGCAUCUGGUGAUGUUUAUCAACAUUUGUAAAUCAAAUUUCGCACAAUACACUGUACGUGACUCAUUUUCCAUAUAAGUUUAUCGGUGAGUUUGGUAUGGAACUGUAUUCCUUCGAAAAGUGAUAACGUUGGGUGUUUUAUUUUUAAGAACAAAUUUAAGGACUUAGGCGGAAUAAGUGGGAAACUUAUUUCCUCAAAGUAUGAUGCGUGGACAGUUGAUAGUAUUAAGUCAUAAGGUGCUAUCAAGAACUUCAGUUUUGACACAAAGAAAGUAUGCUGUAGUGACACAGUCAUUGAAUACUUGCAACCCUGUAAAUAAUGGAUUUAUUUUGUUUCGAGAAUCUAUAUACACUUCUACACAUACCAGAAGGACAUCAGAUCCUAAUGAUCCAGCUACCUUGAUGAAGGAGGAUGGGGUCUCAGUUUGUACUAAAAUGUGGAUUGAGAAUUUUCGGGAACCGGAAAGAACUGUGUCCAAUUUGACUGAUUAUUUGAGGAGAUUUGAGCUGUGGGUGUUGGCAUACCAGAAGGUUUGUGCGGAUGACACUGGUGCAUAUAUGCCCCGAAGCUCAAUAACAAGGUCAGCUCUAGAGGAUUUGCUGGCAUUGAGGAAUGCAGUUCUGGAUAAUAGGUUUAAGUGGGGGGCUAGGCUGGAUUUUUUUAUUAAGUCUCCUAGAGAUAAGACUGACUAUGACUCAUUGUCUAAGAGGAAGAUCAAGGCUAUCCUGACUACCACACAGCCAGCUCCUUUCCAGGAUAGAAUUGUUCAAGAGGUGUUGUUUCUUAUGUUGGAGCCAAUUUAUGAGGCCCGGUUUUCAGAGAAGUCUUUUGCAUUUAGACCAGGAAGGAGUGCACAUACCGUUUUGAGGGUGAUACGAAGGAGCUUUGCAGGUUACCUGUGGUACAUAAAAGGUGACUUGAGUACAGUGUUGGAUGGUAUGAAGGUUGGGCUUGUGAUUAGUGCCUUGAUGAGGGAUGUUAGGGACAAGAAAGUGAUUGAUUUGAUUAAGGCAGCUUUAACUACUCCAGUGAUAACUAGUAGGCCUGAGGAUGGUGAGAAGAAGAAAAAGAAGAAGAGGAAGUACCAGAAGAAGAGAGUUCUGGCAGAGGAUGAACCAAAACCAGAUCCAUACUGGCUGGAAACCUUCUUUGGGUUCGCACCUGAAGAAGCUGAAAAACUUCCUUCAUGGGGUCACUGUGGUAUAUUGAGUCCACUUUUGGCUAACAUUUGUCUUGAUGAAUUAGACAGAUGGAUGGAAGGUAAGACCAAGGAAUUUUAUCGUCCUUCAAAGAGUGAUGUCAUUUGGAAUAGCCCAGAAGGGGAAGUUGAACAGGGAAAUACUUCAUGGCCAGAAUUUGUUCCUACAAGUGGGCCAGAUAAGACCAGGAAAAUGGACUAUAUUCGUUUUGGUGGUCACAUUCUGAUUGGAGUAAGGGGUCCUAGGGCAGAUGCAGCAACACUGAGAAAGCAGUUGAUUGAGUUCUGUGAUCAGAAGUAUAUGCUUAAGCUUGAUAACGAGAGCCUUCCUAUUGAACACAUAACUAAAGGUAUUAUGUUUCUUGAUCAUGUCUUGUGCCGUAGAGUUGUGUAUCCCACCCUUCGAUAUACUGCUACUGGUGGCAAAAUAAUUAGUGAAAAAGGUGUUGGGACACUGUUAUCUGUCACAGCUAGCCUGAAGCAGUGCAUUAAACAGUUUAGAAAACUGAACUUCCUUAAGGGAGAUAGAGACCCAGACCCACAGCCAUGCUUUAGAAUGUUUCAUGCUACUCAAGCCCAUACAAAUGCCCAAAUGAAUAAGUUAUUGGCUACGAUGGUUGAGUGGUAUAGAUAUGCUGACAAUAGAAAGAAGGUUGUCAAUUUCUGUGCCUAUAUCAUAAGGGGUUCCCUUGCAAAGCUCUAUGCUGCAAAAUAUAAGCUUCGGUCACGAGCUAAAGUUUACAAGAUUGGUUCUAGAGAUCUUCGCCGUCCCCUGAAGGAGAAAAAGGGACAGUCUCCAGAGUAUCAGCAGUUACUUAGAAUGGGGUUGGUGGAGUCAAUUGAUGGGCUAUUGUAUACCCGCAUGUCCCUUGUGCCAGAAACUGAUUACACCCCCUUUCCAGUUGGGUGGAGGCCUGAUCAUGAGAAGGCAUUGGUUGAAUAUAUAAAGCUUGAUGACUCAAGAACAUUGGAGGAGCAGCGCCACUGCUUCAAAGAACAAGGCCUCAUUUCACCUCAGGACUACAUUUCAAUGCUUGUCUGGAACUACAAAAGAAAUGCUUUAGCAGUGGAUUUGCCCUCAACUAUAAAUGAUAGGAACACGACAGAAGGGAAACAUUUGCAAUUGGACGCAGGUAAUGAGGAUGACAGUCAAAAUGAUGGGAGUGAUGAAGAUAAUGAAAAAGAUUUUCAUGCUGCACAAAUUAUACUACUUUAGCCAUUAGAAAAGUGGCAUGCAAAUGAGGCAAAAACAUCCUCCCUUCUCUAUAACUGGACAGCCAUUCAGGCCGCACGAUGAGAUCUGGGGUAAAAGAGUUUGUUAUCCUAUUGCUUUGUUCUUAACUCUGACUCUCUUAUCCAGUGCAGUUCCACCAAUGGGGCAAGGCUAAUCUGAACUCGUACCUGAGUUAGCUGAAAAUGAUUGAAAUUUUGCUGUCAACGCCACAAUGGGGACUUCUCUGGCGACUCUGUGAAUCCGUCUUCCCAUGCUGUGUCUGUCAUCGCAACACUCAGGUAUAUAUUUCCUGCAUUAGAAUCCCCAGAUUACAACUUCCCGGUGGAGUCUACAAGCGUUCCAAUGGCACCUGUAUGAAGUUCCAAGCUGUCCAUCAAAGGGGCACUUGGUAUACUGUUGAAAGUUUGAGUCCCCAUGGUAGUAGCAUCUUUUAGAGCUAGCUUUACUGCUAUGAUCACUUUCUGUUGAGGUUAGCAACACGACAAUUAUAGACUGCUCGAAGGAAGUAACGACAACAGACUUUUGGGUGCAUAUUAGCAUAUGUGCAAUUUGAGUUGAUCAAAGUGGCCGAUGGUCGAGAAAUGGGGGUUGGUGUCUGUGGGAGGAACUGAAAAUGAAGGCGCAGCCAAAAGAGUAGUAGCCUUGCAUUUUGCUGGAUUGUGAAGUUCGCUUCUAUGUACUUGGUGGUGGGUAGAGAAUGGACAUAGGAGGAAGCUUCCUAGAUACAUGGUUAUUAUUACAUUAAGAUAAAAGUUUGGGAAAAUUGUAUUUUUUGUCUCUAAGUUAUAAGGUAAUUGUAAGAUUUGUCUCUACUUGUUGGUCGUGCUCACUUCUUGUCUCUAAGUUAUAGUUGACAUUGCAUUUUUUAACAGGUUGUUCUCACUUCUUGUCCCUGAGA